Molecule: ribosomal RNA, 911 nt
Filed under: uncultured archaeon
Lineage: Archaea
Description: bacterial SSU rRNA
Rfam family: Archaeal small subunit ribosomal RNA
Source: RNAcentral
UCYGGUUGAUCCUGCCRGACCCGACUGCUAUCAGAGUGAGAUUAAGCCAUGCGAGUCAACGUAGCAAUACGUGGCACACGGCUCAGUAACACGUAGUCAACAUAACCAAAGGACGUGGAUAAACUCGGGAAACUGAGGCUAAACCGCGAUAGAUCAAGAUACCUGGAAUGGUUUUUGAUCAAAAUCUAUAUGGCCUUUGGAUUGGACUGCGUCCGAUCAGGCUGUUGGUGAGGUAAUGGCCCACCAAACCUGUAACCGGUACGGGCUCUGAGAGGAGGAGCCCGGAGAUGGGUACUGAGAAAAGGACCCAGGCCCUAUGGGGCGCAGCAGGCGCGAAACCUCUGCAAUAGGCGAAAGCCUGACAGGGUUACUCUGAGUGACUUUCGCUAAGAAAGUCUUUUGACACCUCUAAAAAUGGUGUAGAAUAAGGGGUGGGCAAGUCUGGUGUCAGCCGCCGCGGUAAUACCAGCACCCCGAGUGGUCGGGACGAUUAUUGGGCCUAAAGCAUCCGUAGCCGGUUUUACAAGUCCUCCGUUAAAUCCAGCUGCUUAACAGAUGGGCUGCGGAGGAUACUAUAAGACUAGGAGGCAGGAGAGGCGAGCGGUACUCAGUGGGUAGGGGUAAAAUCCGUUGAUCCGUUGAAGACCACCAGUGGCGAAGGCGGCUUGCCAGAAUGCGCUCGACGGUGAGGGAUGAAAGCUGGGGGAGCAAACCGGAUUAGAUACCCGGGUAGUCCCAGCUGUAAACGAUGCAGACUCGGUGAUGGACUAGCUUUAUGCUAGUCCAGUGCCGCAGGGAAGCCGUUAAGUCUGCCGCCUGGGUAGUACGGUCGCAAGACUGAAACUUAAAGGAAUUGGCGGGGGAGCACCACAAGGGGUGAAGCCUGCGGUUCAAUUGGABUCAACGCCGGR